UCCCAAGGGUUCGGCUGUUCGCCGAUUAAAGCGGUACGUGAGCUGGGUUUAGAACGUCGUGAGACAGUUCGGUCCCUAUCUCAUGUGGGCGCAGGAUACUUGAAGGGAUCUGUCCCUAGUACGAGAGGACCGGGACGGACGAACCUCUGGUGCACCAGUUGUCACGCCAGUGGCACAGCUGGGUAGCUACGUUCGGAAAGGAUAACCGCUGAAGGCAUCUAAGCGGGAAGCCCCCCCUAAGAUAAGGUAUCCCUGAAGACUCCUGGAAGACGACCAGGUUGAUAGGCGGGAAGUGUAAGCGCUGCGAGGCGUUGAGCUCACCCGUACUAAUCAGUCGUUCGGCUUGACCAUUUAA
RNAcentral lists this ribosomal RNA (355 nucleotides) under Acidobacteriota bacterium. Its description in RNAcentral is "bacterial LSU rRNA". It matches the Rfam family "Bacterial large subunit ribosomal RNA", at positions 2563 to 2925 of the family's 2925-position model. The record is from RNAcentral. Lineage: Bacteria; Pseudomonadati; Acidobacteriota.